UACAGAGGGUGCAAGCGUUAAUCGGAAUUACUGGGCGUAAAGCGUGCGUAGACGGUUACAUAAGUCGGGUGUGAAAGCCCCGGGCUCAACCUGGGAAUGGCAAUGGAUACUGGCAGGCUAGAGUGCGGUAGAGGGUAGUGGAAUUCCCGGUGUAGCGGUGAAAUGCGUAGAGAUCGGGAGGAACACCAGUGGCGAAGGCGGCUACCUGGACCAGCACUGACACUGAGGCACGAAAGCGUGGGGAGCAAACAGG
Molecule: ribosomal RNA, 253 nt
Filed under: uncultured bacterium
Lineage: Bacteria
Description: partial 16S ribosomal RNA
Rfam family: Bacterial small subunit ribosomal RNA
Source: RNAcentral